This 263-nucleotide small RNA is filed under the name Histoplasma capsulatum. Its description in RNAcentral is "hypothetical RNA". The record is from RNAcentral. RNAcentral also lists the same sequence under 1 other name. Lineage: Eukaryota; Fungi; Ascomycota; Eurotiomycetes; Onygenales; Ajellomycetaceae.
CUGGCAUAUCUCUAGAACUGUCGGCUGUUAUGGUGUAUGGUUGAGGGAGUGUCUGUGUCUAGCACCUACGACAAAAGCCUAGGGCGCAGACACAUGUAUUGUACAGUACAAAGGGCUCUAGGAUGCCGGUCUCCAGGGAUGACCCCUAUGUUAUCUGCUCGACGCUAGGCCCUGGAAGGGUUUUCGUUGGCAGGAUGGGUUCGUCUAGUUACUAAAUUUGAAGUAUUAAUUAUUAUAUGAAUUUACCUAAAUAGAUAUAGAAA